RNAcentral lists this small nucleolar RNA (69 nucleotides) under Stegodyphus mimosarum. Its description in RNAcentral is "Small nucleolar RNA SNORD61". It matches the Rfam family "Small nucleolar RNA SNORD61". Rfam says of the family: U61 belongs to the C/D class of snoRNA which contain the C (UGAUGA) and D (CUGA) box motifs. Most of the members of the box C/D family function in directing site-specific 2'-O-methylation of substrate RNAs. Lineage: Eukaryota; Metazoa; Arthropoda; Arachnida; Araneae; Eresidae. The record is from Rfam by way of RNAcentral.
GCCAUGAUGAUCUGAAAUCAUAAUGAUAAAAAUGAUUUGAUAUAUUAUCCUCUAAGAAGAUCUGAGCUG